RNAcentral lists this ribosomal RNA (292 nucleotides) under uncultured bacterium. Its description in RNAcentral is "partial 16S ribosomal RNA". The record is from RNAcentral.
GGACUACACGGGUAUCUAAUCCCGUUCGCUCCCCUAGCUUUCGCACCUGAGCGUCAGUGGCGAGCCAGGAUGCUGCCUUCGCCUUCGGUGUUCUUCCAGAUCUCUACGCAUUUCACCGCUCCACCUGGAAUUCCGCAUCCCUCUCUCGUCCUCAAGUCUUGCAGUUUCCCGAGGCCUGUGGCAGUUGAGCCACCACCUGUCACUCGAAACUUACAAGACCGCCUGCGUGCCCUUUACGCCCAAUAAAUCCGGACAACGCUUGCCCCCUACGUAUUACCGCGGCUGCUGGCAC